UACGUAGGGACCAAGCGUUGUCCGGAAUCAUUGGGCGUAAAGAGCGUGUAGGCGGCUUGUUAAGUCUUGCGUGAAAUCUCGGGGCUCAACCCGGAAACUGCCAUUGAUACUAUUAGUCUUGAAUUCUGUUGAGGUGGGCGGAAUACAUCAUGUAGCGGUGAAAUGCUUAGAUAUGAUGUAGAACACCGAUUGCGAAGGCAGCUCACUAAGCAGCGAUUGACGCUGAGGCACGAAAGCGUGGGGAUCAAACAGG
Molecule: ribosomal RNA, 253 nt
Filed under: uncultured bacterium
Lineage: Bacteria
Description: partial 16S ribosomal RNA
Rfam family: Bacterial small subunit ribosomal RNA
Source: RNAcentral